Molecule: ribosomal RNA, 426 nt
Filed under: uncultured bacterium
Lineage: Bacteria
Description: bacterial SSU rRNA
Rfam family: Bacterial small subunit ribosomal RNA
Source: RNAcentral
GUGAGGAAUAUUGCACAAUGGGCGAAAGCCUGAUGCAGCAACGCCGCGUGGGUGAUGAAGGCCUUCGGGUCGUAAAACCCUUUUCUGGGGAAAGAGAGAGGACGGUACCCCAGGAAUAAGGUUCGGCUAACUACGUGCCAGCAGCCGCGGUAAAACGUAGGAACCGAGCGUUAUCCGGAUUCAUUGGGCGUAAAGCGCCUGCAGGCGGUCUUGUAAGUUGGACGUGAAAUCUCUCGGCUCAACUGGGAGGUGCCGUUCAAUACUGCAGGACUUGAGGGCAGAAGAGGGAAGCGGAAUUCCCGGUGUAGUGGUGAAAUGCGUAGAUAUCGGGAGGAACACCAGUGGCGAAGGCGGCUUCCUGGUCUGCACCUGACGCUAAGAGGCGAAAGCUAGGGUAGCGAACGGGAUUAGAAACCCCUGUAGUCC